This 479-nucleotide ribosomal RNA is filed under the name uncultured bacterium. RNAcentral describes it as "partial 16S ribosomal RNA". It matches the Rfam family "Bacterial small subunit ribosomal RNA", at positions 28 to 507 of the family's 1533-position model. The record is from RNAcentral.
GAUGAACGCUCGCGGGAGGCCUAACACAUGCAAGCCGAGCGGUAUUUGUUCUUCGGAACAGAGAGAGCGGCGCACGGGUGCGGAACACGUGUGCAACCUGCCUUUAUCUGGGGGAUAGCCUUUCGAAAGGAAGAUUAAUACCCCAUAAUAUAUUGAGUGGCAUCAUUUGAUAUUGAAAACUCCGGUGGAUAGAGAUGGGCACGCGCAAGAUUAGAUAGUUGGUGAGGUAACGGCUCACCAAGUCAAUGAUCUUUAGGGGGCCUGAGAGGGUGAUCCCCCACACUGGUACUGAGACACGGACCAGACUCCUACGGGAGGCAGCAGUGAGGAAUAUUGGACAAGGGGUUAGCGCCUGAUCCAGCCAUCCCGCGUGAAGGACGACGGCCCUAUGGGUGGUAAACUUCUUUUGUAUAGGGAUAAACCUACUCUCGUGAGAGUAGCUGAAGGUACUAUACGAAUAAGCACCGGCUAACUCCGUG